UACGGGGGGGGCAAGCGUUGUUCGGAAUUACUGGGCGUAAAGGGCUCGUAGGUGGCCAACUAAGUCAGACGUGAAAUCCCUCGGCUUAACCGGGGAACUGCGUCUGAUACUGGAUGGCUUGAGUUUGGGAGAGGGAUGCGGAAUUCCAGGUGUAGCGGUGAAAUGCGUAGAUAUCAUCAGGAACACCGGUGGCGAAGGCGGCUUUCUGGGUCUUACCUGACGCUGAGGAACGAAAGCUAGGGGAGCGAACGGG
This 253-nucleotide ribosomal RNA is filed under the name uncultured bacterium. Its description in RNAcentral is "partial 16S ribosomal RNA". It matches the Rfam family "Bacterial small subunit ribosomal RNA", at positions 524 to 776 of the family's 1533-position model. The record is from RNAcentral.